CCACGAGUGAGCGCUCAGUAUCGCUUUUUCGAACGUUUUUAAUAAGUCACCCUUCCCUUCAGUUUAAAGUUAUAAAAGGAGGAGGCAGAUCUCAGCCCCGAGAUGGGCGCACGGACAUCAGCACACAGCCCAGGGCACGGCAGAGCAGGGGUGGGUGUGCUUUGGGCACGGCCACGCACACUGAGCACCCCCUGUGCCCGGCAGCAUUGGGCAGGCGGGGAGCACAUCGUCAGCCCCCGUGGAAGAGCUGCUCUGGGAAGUGCACCCAUUGCACGGCUGUGUCCUCCCACGGCGUGAAAUCCAGGCAGGGACCGUCCUCAGCCGUGCGCCGAGCGGAGGGACGAUGGCUGCUGGACACGGCUUCAUGCUGACGCUGUGGGGCUCAUCGGAAGCACAGCGGGGCUUUGCGCAGCGCGGGGCUCUCUGCGGAGCUCAGCUGCAGCUCCGCCGGACCCCCCCUACUUCGUCGGCCAGACAGCGACCACAGCGAUGGCAAUGAGCAGCAGCACGAUCACCACCAGCAUUCCGCAGGACGUUGACUUUCUGUCCACCAUCUUCACGUGCCGUGUCUGAGUGCGAAGCUUGCUGUCCGUGUUCUCCACCAGGUUCGUGAGGUCGUCGAUGAUCUCGUUCUGCUCGUCCAGCUCAUUCCCAAUUUCCUGUCCCAUUUGCUUUUGCCGGGAUAUGAUUGAAGAGAGAGCAUCCAGUCCAGCAUCUUGCUCUUCUAUGAUCCUCCGCUGCUGCUGCCUGAUGUCAUCGAAGCCAAGCCCUCUGGUUUCCUCAGACUCCUCCAGGAGCCAUGGGUUGGUCACUCCUCGUUUGACACCUCCUGCCAUUAGGCUAGAUCUGAUCACGUCUGGCUCCGUGCCCUCGUUCUUGUAAGACGACUGCAGUUGCUUCUGCCGUGUGAGAAGGUCAUCCACCAAGUUCUGCCUCCUGUCUCCCUCCAGCUGGGUGAUCUGGUGUGUUGACACAGCCCGGAGCAAGGAGUCCUUCAGCUGAUCAAUCUUCUCCUUGAGAUUCUGCAGUGACGACCUGAUAAUCACAUUGAGCUUGGCCGAGCUCUCCCCAUUGCGCCGGUGCCGGCUGCGCUCCUGGAUCCGCUCGGCCACCUCCUGGGCCAGCUGGCAGGCGGCGUCGUACUGCGAGAGCCAGGGGUCCGGAGCCAUCACAGCCACC
This 1179-nucleotide long non-coding RNA is filed under the name Gallus gallus (chicken). Lineage: Eukaryota; Metazoa; Chordata; Aves; Galliformes; Phasianidae. The record is from RNAcentral.